Fopius arisanus is the source of this 582-nucleotide long non-coding RNA. RefSeq lists it as uncharacterized. Lineage: Eukaryota; Metazoa; Arthropoda; Insecta; Hymenoptera; Braconidae. The transcript is spliced from 2 exons. The record is from RefSeq and is a predicted model, not a curated record.
CAUUGGGCACAAACUGCUGGUUUGCUGGGAGUGAAGCCACUUCAUGAUGCAGUGAAUGUGAAAACAGUGAGAGCACUGACCCCAAACUGACAAUCAUCACCAGGAGUCUUGCAGUCCGGACAGCUGGCGUCAAAUGGCAUUCGACAAAUUCCACAAUUGUCAUCAUUAGCAAUCCAUCUCCAAGUUGCAACGCCUGUCCAGCCUUAGAAAUAUAAAUAAUUGAAUAAAUAAAAUAGAUUUACGAUGUACAACAAUCAUUUUAUCUUUAGCAACUAUUUUUGUUGGUUAGGAGAACCUUUUAACGAUGAAAUUUAAUUAAAAACACUCACUUUUGACGAUCACCUUCAUGUUAUUAAUGAUUUGGUCAAAAUGAUUUGUUAUCUAAUUAACAGAACUAUCGAUGAAACAAAGAAAUACAAUUUUCGUGAACAAAUUAAGUUUUUGUGGUGAAAUACUACGAAGAAACUUGUAGCUGUUUAUCCUCCUGUAUGUACCCAUGCUACCAACGUGAUCAAAUGAAAUCUCUCUGUAAUAUUUGAUUCAAAAAAGGAUGAAUAAAUACUGAUUUGCAUUUAUAAAAAA